RNAcentral lists this ribosomal RNA (139 nucleotides) under uncultured bacterium. RNAcentral describes it as "partial 16S rRNA". It matches the Rfam family "Bacterial small subunit ribosomal RNA", at positions 355 to 511 of the family's 1533-position model. The record is from RNAcentral.
UGGGGAAUAUUACACAAUGGGGGAAACCCUGAUGCAGCAACGCCGCGUGAGUGAUGAAGGUUUUCGGAUCGUAAAGCUCUGUCUUUGGGGAAGAUAAUGACGGUACCCAAGGAGGACGCCACGGCUAACUACGUGCCAG